GAGGAAUCUUGCGCAAUGGGGGAAACCCUGACGCAGCAACGCCGCGUGAGUGAGGAAGGUCUUCGGAUCGUAAAGCUCUGUCAGUUGGAAAGAAAUGUCUGAGAGUCAAUACCUUUCAGGCUUGACGGUACCAACAGAGGAAGCACCGGCUAACUCCGUGCCAGCAGCCGCGGUAAUACGGGGGGUGCAAGCGUUGUUCGGAAUUAUUGGGCGUAAAGAGCGUGUAGGCGGCCGGAUAUGUCAGAUGUGAAAGCCCCGGGCUUAACCCGGGAAGUGCAUUUGAAACUGUCCGGCUCGAGUAGGGGAGAGGGAAGUGGAAUUCCUGGUGUAGAGGUGAAAUUCGUAGAUAUCAGGAGGAACACCGGUGGCGAAGGCGACUUCCUGGCCCUAUACUGACGCUGAGACGCGAGAGCGUGGGUAGCAAAC
Molecule: ribosomal RNA, 426 nt
Filed under: uncultured bacterium
Lineage: Bacteria
Description: bacterial SSU rRNA
Rfam family: Bacterial small subunit ribosomal RNA
Source: RNAcentral